This 262-nucleotide long non-coding RNA is filed under the name Daucus carota (carrot). Its description in RNAcentral is "long non-coding RNA (DCAR_LNC000144)". The record is from RNAcentral. Lineage: Eukaryota; Viridiplantae; Streptophyta; Magnoliopsida; Apiales; Apiaceae.
GAAUUAAUUUUCUUUUAAACUUGAAAAUUUUAGAUUUAUUUUAUUUUUUUUAAAAAAAUAGAGUAAAACCCCUCUUCAAAUUAAUUGUUCUAAUCCGCCUAGGUUAAUUGUAAAAGAUUGCGAAUAAAUAAUUUUAAUCUCUGUGGAUCGAAUCAUAAAUAUUAAAACGGUGAUCGUGCGCUUGCGAUUUAUAAAAGGUAAUAUCUUUAGAAAAUCUGCCUCAGCUCCGUAGGCUAACUAAAAGGGGGUUGCUCCAGUCGAG